GACGAACGCUGGCGGCGUGCUUAACACAUGCAAGUCGAACGGAAAGGCCCUGCUUUUGUGGGGUGCUCGAUUGGCGAACGGGUGAGUAAAACGUGAGUAACCUCCCCUUAUCUUUGGGAUAACUUCUGGAAACUGGGGCUCUUACCGGAUAGAAUCUAUUGCUCCACGUGGGGGGUUGGAAAGAUUCGGCGGUGGUGGAUGUACUCGAGGCUUAUCAGCUUGUUGGUGAGGUAGGGGCUUACCAAGGCUUUGACGGGUAGCCGGCCUAGGAGGGUGACCGGCGACAUGGGGACUGAGAGACGGACCAGACGCGUACGGGAGGCAGUGGUGGGGAAUAUUGCACAAUGGGCCGACGCCUGAUGCAGCGAUGUCGCGUGCGGAAUGACGGGUUUCGGGUUGUAAACAGAUUUCGCAUGUGACGAAGAGUUGGUGACGGUAAUGGGUAAAGAAGCCCCGGCUAACUACGUG
Molecule: ribosomal RNA, 468 nt
Filed under: uncultured bacterium
Lineage: Bacteria
Description: partial 16S ribosomal RNA
Rfam family: Bacterial small subunit ribosomal RNA
Source: RNAcentral